This is a long non-coding RNA of Populus nigra (black poplar), 823 nucleotides long. RefSeq lists it as uncharacterized. The transcript is spliced from 2 exons. The record is from RefSeq and is a predicted model, not a curated record. Lineage: Eukaryota; Viridiplantae; Streptophyta; Magnoliopsida; Malpighiales; Salicaceae.
UCUAAAUCCAAUCCAAUAACCCUAAAAUCGAAACCCAGCCGCCGCCUCCUAUUUCUAUAUUUACACUGAUGAAACCAAAACACAAUCCACGUUCAGGCAGUCUCUCUCUCCGGCCAAUCCACGGCCGCAGCUUCCAAUCACCAGGGCUUGUUGCCAACUCUAUUCUACCCUAUUUACCGCGUCAGUGACCAUUCUACUUCCAUCUCUUUUAUCGGCCUAUCGGCCUACAGUUUCUCUUUAUCUUUUGUUUGCUAUACGAAUUGCUCCAUCUCCCUUUUCAGUGGAGGUCUUAGCCUCCUAGGUGAUGGCCAUGGUCGCCGCUGCUAAAAUGAUGAUUGGGAUAUUGUGCAAGGGCUUUGAGUUCCAUUUUAAUGGAAUUGAUGAGAUAAUUCAUAUUAUACCCUCUGAUUACCAGCAGCCAGCAGUUUGAUGGGUCUUUACAGUGGAUCCAAUUACCUAUACUAACUUGGCUCUUGAGCCACUUCUUUGAUCUGUAAUCUUAUACAUGCUCUUAUUAAUUCCUGGAAUUUGCAUCUUAGGAUUGAAGAUGACCCAUUUCCUAGAUUAACACUCUUAUAACUAUAAGAAACUAUCUAUUAAGAUUUGUUAAAAGAAAGAGUUUUUCUUUCGUUAUCUUCCUCAGAAACAGGAGUUUAUGCUCGAUACCCAUCUAAUGAAAGCAUCUUGUGAAGAUUGUGGCGCUGCUUGUGGCCAUUUCCGCCUGCUAGAUUGGGCUCUUGCAAACCAGCUUAUUUUGGAUUGGGCAUAUUGUGAAGAUUAUUCUUUUGCUUCCAAUUUAAUAAACCUCAAUGUUUUUUUUUUA